RNAcentral lists this ribosomal RNA (250 nucleotides) under uncultured bacterium. RNAcentral describes it as "partial 16S ribosomal RNA". It matches the Rfam family "Bacterial small subunit ribosomal RNA", at positions 525 to 774 of the family's 1533-position model. The record is from RNAcentral.
ACGAACCGUGCGAACGUUGUUCGGAUUCACUGGGCUUAAAGGGCGCGUAGGCGGGCGGUCAAGUCCGGGGUGAAAGCUUUCGGCUCAACCGGAAAAGGGCCUUGGAUACUGGCCGCCUAGAGGGAGGUAGGGGCAGGUGGAACUUCCGGUGGAGCGGUGAAAUGCGUAGAUAUCGGAAGGAACGCCGGUGGCGAAAGCGGCCUGCUGGAUCUCUACUGACGCUGAGGCGCGAAAGCUAGGGGAGCAAACG